AAGGAGUCUAACAUAUCUGCGAGUAUUUGGGUGUCAAACCCGAGUGCGCAAUGAAAGUGAACGUAGGUGGGAACCCGCAAGGGUGCACCAUCGACCGAUCCUGAUGUCUUCGGAAGGAUUUGAGUAAGAGCAUGGCUGUUGGGACCCGAAAGAUGGUGAACUAUGCUUGAAUAGGGUGAAGCCAGAGGAAACUCUGGUGGAGGCUCGCAGCGGUUCUGACGUGCAAAUCGAUCGUCAAAUUUGGGCAUAGGGGCGAAAGACUAAUCGAACUAUCUAGUAGCUGGUUCCUGC
RNAcentral lists this unclassified non-coding RNA (291 nucleotides) under uncultured fungus. RNAcentral describes it as "partial contains 5.8S rRNA, ITS2 and 28S rRNA". It matches the Rfam family "Eukaryotic large subunit ribosomal RNA", at positions 668 to 961 of the family's 3401-position model. The record is from RNAcentral. Lineage: Eukaryota; Fungi.